This 756-nucleotide ribosomal RNA is filed under the name Anastrangalia sequensi. Its description in RNAcentral is "eukaryotic LSU rRNA". It matches the Rfam family "Eukaryotic large subunit ribosomal RNA", at positions 43 to 612 of the family's 3401-position model. The record is from RNAcentral. Lineage: Eukaryota; Metazoa; Arthropoda; Insecta; Coleoptera; Cerambycidae.
UACUUAGGCGGGAGGAAGAACUAACUAGGAUUCCCUCAGUAGCUGCGAGCGAACAGGGAAGAGCCCAGCACCGAAUCCCGCGGCCGAUACCGGGCGCCGGGAAAUGUGGUGUUAGGGAGGAUCCGUUUAUCCCGAGGUCGUGCGGUGCGUCCAAGUCCUUCUUGAACGGGGCCACAGCCCAUAGAGGGUGCCAGGCCCGUAGUGACCGCUGCCGAUCGCGGGAGGAUCUCUCCUCAGAGUCGGGUUGCUUGAGAGUGCAGCCCUAAGUGGGUGGUAAACUCCAUCUAAGGCUAAAUAUGACCACGAGACCGAUAGCGAACAAGUACCGUGAGGGAAAGUUGAAAAGCACUUUGAAGAGAGAGUUCAAGAGUACGUGAAACCGUUCAGGGGUAAACCUGAGAAACCCGAAAGGUCGAAAGGGGAAAUUCAUUCGCGUUUCGGCAGUCGGCGUCGGAUGGUCGAGUGACGGAUGGCGUACGCGUCGUCCGCGCCUUCCUUCCUUCGAACCGGCGUCGAACGCGUGCACUUUUCCCCUAGUAGGACGUCGCGAUCCGUUGGGUGUCGGUCUAAGGCCCGUGGUGGAGCCCGCGCGGAAGUUUCGGCUUCCGCUCGGACCCACGGUGUCCCGGCCGACUCGCUCGACGGUAUACAGAUGGCGCGGGGCCGCUACUCAGUUAGCGUUCGGCCUGCGGCAAGCGCGUUCGGCGUUUGACGGCGAUCGGACCUGGUGCCGGUCCUGUCCCCGAACGACUGUUG